GCGGCCGUGGCGGAACGGCAGACGCGCUAGGUUGAGGGCCUAAUGGGAGUAUUCCGUGGAGGUUCAAAUCCUCUCGGCCGCA
Molecule: transfer RNA, 82 nt
Filed under: Staphylococcus xylosus
Lineage: Bacteria; Bacillati; Bacillota; Bacilli; Caryophanales; Staphylococcaceae
Description: tRNA-Leu
Rfam family: tRNA
About the family: Transfer RNA (tRNA) molecules are approximately 80 nucleotides in length. Their secondary structure includes four short double-helical elements and three loops (D, anti-codon, and T loops). Further hydrogen bonds mediate the characteristic L-shaped molecular structure. tRNAs have two regions of fundamental functional importance: the anti-codon, which is responsible for specific mRNA codon recognition, and the 3' end, to which the tRNAs corresponding amino acid is attached (by aminoacyl-tRNA synthetases). tRNAs cope with the degeneracy of the genetic code in two manners: having more than one tRNA (with a specific anti-codon) for a particular amino acid; and 'wobble' base-pairing, i.e. permitting non-standard base-pairing at the 3rd anti-codon position.
Source: RNAcentral